GCUCUCUCUGUUAGGGGGUUGGUAUUAUCAUCAUCUCUCUUAGGGGGUUGGUAUUAUCAUCAUCUCUCUCUUUUAGGGGGUUGGUAUUAUCAUCAUCUCUCUCUGUUAGGGGGUUGGUAUUAUCAUCAUCUCUCUCUGUUAGGUGGUUGGUAUUAUCAUCAUCUCUCUCUGUUAGGGGGUUGGUAUUAUCAUCUCUCUCUGUUAGGGGGUUGGUAUUAUUAUCUCUCUCUCUCUGUUAGGGGGUUGGUAUUAUCAUCAUCUCUCUCUCUGUUAGGGGGUUGGUAUUAUCAUCAUCUCUCUCUGUUAGGGGGUUGGUAUUAUCAUCUCUCUCUCUCUGUUAG
Molecule: long non-coding RNA, 341 nt
Filed under: Salmo salar (Atlantic salmon)
Lineage: Eukaryota; Metazoa; Chordata; Actinopteri; Salmoniformes; Salmonidae
Description: lncRNA (ENSSSAG00000091690.1)
Source: RNAcentral